AUGCUUAAUUCAUGGCAACUCAAGUACCUAAAGGUGGAAACUCGGUUUGGUUUUCUUGCAGAAGUCUGCCUGGCUUUUCUUCUUUUCCCUAUAUUAAGAGGUCUGGCCUUGUUUCUGUUGCUUGGCAUCCAGUUUGAAGCUUUUGUAAGAUACCAUAUAUGGCUUGGGACUGCAAUGAUAUUUUUUGCCACUUUCCAUGGUACAAGCACUUUGUUCAUUUGGGGGUUCAGCCACUUUAUCCAGGAGAAGAUAUGGGAAUGGCAGAAAAGCGGGCGGAUGUACCUUGCUGGGGAGAUCUGUCUGGUCACAGGGUUAGUGAUUUGGAUCACAUCACUUCCUCAAAUAAGGAGAAAACAGUUUGAAAUAUUUUACUACACACACCAUCUCUACAUGGUUUUUCUGGUAUUCUUCUUGUUUCAUGCUGGAGACCGUCACUUCUACAUGGUUUUCCUUUUCCCUGGAAUUUUUCUGUUUGGCCUUGACAAGCUCCUUCUGAUCAUACAAUCUAGACGCGAAACAUGCAUUCUUUCAGCACGAAUCUUCCCCUCCAAAGCUAUAGAGCUUAUUCUACCAAAAGAUCCAGGGCCCAAGUAUACACCAACAAGCAUUAUAUUUGUGAAGGUACCAAGUAUAUCCAAAUAUGAGUGCCACUCAUUUAGCAUUACUUCCAGCUCUAGGGUUGAUGACAACACAAUAUCUAUAAUGAUCAAAUCCGAAGGAUCGUGGACAAGUUCUCUCUCCCAUAUGAUCCAAACUAGGCAAGAGUCGGAUGGCGAUCAGACGAAGUACAUACCUAUUGCAGUAGAAGGCCCUUAUGGACCUGUCUCUAUGGACUUCCUAAGAUAUGAUAGUCUACUUCUUGUUUCUGGAGGAAUUGGAAUAACCCCAGUUCUGAGCAUCAUACAGGAACUUGCUUCGUCCCAAAACAGCGGCAUAAACAAAUUCCUACCAAGAAUGCAGCUUAUAUAUGUUGUGAAGAAGUCCCAAGACAUUUGUCUGUUGAACUCAAUCUCACCUCUAAUAUUUGGCCAGCCAGCAGAAAAAUGCCUUCUGAAAGUUAAAGUCUUUGUGACCCAAGAAGAGCAGUCUGAUGCAACAGUAAGAGAACUAGUAAACGAGUUUUCUCAAGUGCAAACAGUGAACUUUGGCACAAAGUUCUUGAAUUUUUCAAUCAGUGAACUCGAAAACUCACUUUGGAUGGCUGCCAUAGCUGGAAUUUCCGCUAUCCUGUUUCUCAUCUUUCUCAUUAUGUUCAACCACAUUUUUGUUCCCUCCCAGAAAAAUCCCACCAAGGAGAAGACUCCAUCUUGGGUUGCAGAUCUUCUUAUCAUAUCUUCCUUCAUUCUGGCAUUAAUUUGCAGCAUCUUUGUAGCACUUGUUAUAAGAUGGAGAAGGCUAAAGAAACAGAUUCGUCCUACCCCCCAAAAACAAAGCAAAGCUUAGAAAAAGGGUCAACACAAGCAAGUGAUGCUCUUGAGGAACAUGAAAUCCAUUUUGGAGGCAGGCCUAACUUUGAAGCGGAUAUCUUUGCAAAGUUUCCAGAUGAGACAGGUGGAUCUGAUAUUGGAGUGUUGGUCUAUGGACCUGAGACUACGAAGGAAUCAGUGGGGCAUCAAUUUGCCAGAAAAAUGUGGAGCUAAGAAGCAGAAACCCAAUUUCAGCUUCCACUCCCUCAAUUUCACACUCUAGUCUCACACCAGAAACCAUAAUAAAAAGUGAAGAUAAUAACAGUUAGAUUUACAUCCAAAAUAGUAUAGUGAUCAAUCAACUCCA
This is an RNA transcript of Prunus mume (Japanese apricot), 1773 nucleotides long. It is a transcript of the gene named ferric reduction oxidase 8, mitochondrial-like, with no coding region annotated. The record is from RefSeq and is a predicted model, not a curated record. NCBI's taxonomy places the organism in Eukaryota, Viridiplantae, Streptophyta, Magnoliopsida, Rosales, Rosaceae.